AUGGAGGUCGGGACGGGUGCCUUGGGGAGCCUGCUUCCCAAACUCAGCGAGCUGCUCUUGGAGGAGUAUCACCUCCACAAGCGCGUCAAGAAGGACGUCGAGUCCAGGCCCGGCCAGAUGAAGGGCAUGUACGCUGCCCUCCGCAAGGUGGCGGAAGUGCCGCAGGACCAGCUCGACGAGCAACUCGUGCUCUGGGCUGGUGACGUCAGAGAGCUCUCAUAUACCAUAGAAGACGUGGUCGACAAGUUCCUCGUGCGCAUGCGCAUCGAGGAGCUCGAAGCAAUAGAUAACUCGCACACACUUAGACGGCUAAUGCAGAAGAUGGCUACCUUCUUCAGAAAAGGUAAGACUCGCCGUCAGAUCGCUAAUGCGAUCAAAGACAUUAACAGUGAAAUCCAAGCCGUGGCCAACAGGCGUGGGCGCGUGGCAGUUGAAAAUAUUGUGCCUAAUCCUACCCCGGCGACAACUAUCGAUCCUCGCUUGCGGGCUCUUUACACAGAAAUGAAAGAGCUCGUUGGUAUCGACGGGAAAAGGGAUCAAGAGCUUAUAAAGCUUCUAUCCAUGGGGGAUAGUGUUGUCCCCGGGGAGAAACUUAAGAUAGUUUCUGUUGUUGGAUUCGGUGGAUUGGGCAAGACAACUCUCGUCAAAGCUGUGUACGACAAGAUCAAAGGAAGUUUCGAUUGUUCAGCUUUUGUUCCUGUCGGUCGGAAUCCUGAUGUGAGGAAAAUUAUUAGAGAUAUCCUCAUUGAUCUCGGCAAAUAUAACUCAGAUCUCAUGAUACUGGAUGAAAGGCAGCUUAUAGACAAGCUUCGGGAAGUUCUCGAGCAGAAAAGGUACCUGAUCAUAAUUGAUGAUAUAUGGGAUGAAAAACUAUGGGCAGUAAUAAAAUUGGCUUUCGAUAAUGAGAACAGUAAAGGAAGUCGGCUGAUAACGACAACCCGCAUAGUUAGUGUAUCAAAAGCAUGCUGUUCAUCUAGUGAUGGUUUUGUUUAUGAAAUGAAGCCCCUUUGUGACAAUGACUCUAAGGUACUCUUCUAUAAAAGAGUAUUUCAUGAGCGUGGAUGUCCUAGUGAAUUUGAGGAAGUAUCUAAAGAUAUCUUGAAGAAGUGUGGCGGGGUACCAUUGGCCAUUAUUACUUUAGCUAGUCUUUUGGCUAGUGAUCAGUAUGUAAAGUCAAAAGAUGAAUGGCAGAUCUUGCACCAGUCUAUUGGAUAUGGCCUUACAGAAGAUCCUAGUUUAGAGGAGAUGCAGAGGAUACUUUCAUUUAGCUAUUAUGGUCUACCUUCCCAUCUGAAGACUUGUCUAUUAUAUCUCACUAUAUAUCCAGAAGAUAGCAAUAUUGAGAGAGAGCAUUUGAUAUGGAAGUGGGUAUCGGAAAGUUUUAUUCAGUGUGGAAAGCAAGCAACUAGCCUCUUUGAGAUUGGAGAAACUUACUUUAAUGAGCUGGUCAAUAGGAGCAUGAUACAGCCGGUGUAUGAUGGUACAGGCACCGUAGAUGCCUGCUGUGUACAUGAUAUGGUCCUUGAUCUUAUUUGUUCCUUGUCAAGAGAAAAUUUUUUUGUUACUGUGUUGGAUGGUACUAGAGAUAGCACAUCUUUUAAAAGUAAUAUUCGGCGGUUGUCUCUCCAAAGUAGAAAUGAAGAUCGUCAAGGCAUGUGUCAAAUUAAUUCAAUGAGUGCAUCACAGCUGAGGUCUAUAACUGUCUUUACAAGAACUUUCAAUAUCAUUCCAGCUCUUUUGAAGUUUGAUGUUUUACGUGUAUUAGAUCUGAAUGAGUGCAAGCUUGUGGAAAGCAGGGGCGAGCUUGAUCUGAGGAUUCUAGGGAAUUUAUUUCACCUGAGGUAUCUGGAUUUGGCAGGUACUAACAUUUCUGAACUCCCAGCAGAAAUAGGAAAUCUGCAGUUUUUGCAAGUAUUGGAUGUAGGACAAAAUUUUGGGCUAAAAGAAUUACCACCGAGUGUUUGUAAGCUGAUAAGGUUGAUGUUUCUGAAUUUUCAUUUUUGGUGCUAUAUGCCUCCAAGUGUGCUGGGAAAUCUGGCAUCCUUAGAAGUGCUGAGUGACAUCUAUGCCUCCAUUGACAUUGUGCAAGAUCUUCGCAACCUGGAAAGACUAAGAGAGCUUGCCAUUUCUUUCGAUGGUAAGUGUUUGGAUUUAGAAAAAGCUUUUGUGGAGUCUGUGUGCAGCUUGCACAAUAUCCAGUGCUUAACUAUGCAAGGGGAUUUUGAACCGAUGGACAUCCUAGGGGAAUGUUGUUUCCCUACGCGAUAUGUCCGCCAAUUUAACUCCUACUAUGUCGGAGUAUUUUCUGCCCUCCCAACGUGGAUAAAGAGAGAUCCCACCCAUCUCUCGAGGCUCUCCGAGUUAAUUAUUCAUGUCGACGAAGUGAAGCAGGAGGAUGUGGAAAUCCUUGGGAGGUUGCCGGCUCUUCGUCAUCUCUUGCUAGCAACCAGCCACCAAACGCAGAGGCUGCUAACCAUUCGUGCCGAUGGUUUCCGUUGUAUGGUAGACUUCAUAUUGGACUCUGGCUCGGGGGCCCUAAUAGUUUUCGAACAAGGAGCAUUGCCAAGAGCAGAACGAGUAACCAUCUGCCUUGCCGUGCGUGUGGCAAAAGAGGACGGUAACGGUGAUUUCAACUUAGGCCUGCAUGGGAACAUGCCAUCACUUCGAUUUUUCCGUACUGGAAUCCAUUGGCGUGGAGCGAUGGUUGGGGAGGCAAAGGAAGCCGAGGCUGCAGUAAGACAUGCACUCCAUGACCAUCUAAGCAUCCCAGCAUGGAAUUCUAUGUGUGGCCAGAUAUGCCUCAAGGUUCCACCCAAACCUCCUUUUAAUUUCAUCGUAUUCUCCUCACGUACGUACCUAUGUACUUAG
This 2868-nucleotide ribosomal RNA is filed under the name Triticum aestivum (bread wheat). Its description in RNAcentral is "partial small subunit ribosomal RNA". Lineage: Eukaryota; Viridiplantae; Streptophyta; Magnoliopsida; Poales; Poaceae. The record is from RNAcentral.